AGCGUCCUCUCUAUCAGUCUGCCUUCCACGAAAAGCAGGUGAGUUCUUGACCACUAGUGCUACCUGGGAAGCUCUACCUGCCCCUAAGAUGAAGAGAAGCCCAGCAGCCCAGCAUGGAUCAAAUCUGUUAUAGCUCUCAGCACAUUUCAUCCUCAUGAAAGACCUGUGUACAAACAAAGACCUCGCUGCCUAAAAGUUAAGCUGUGGCAUCAGAAAGUGCCUUUGUUCUUUGCUCCUGUUCUGCCAAAGUGAGAAAAUGAUCAGAAUCAUGUGACCAAGCAAAGGGAAGGGCAGUGGCCCUCCCCCAGGGAGCAUCACCGUGGCAGGAGCGGAAGAGCCCUGCUAGGAGGACCAGACUCUCCCUACAUCCACGAGAGUGGUUCCAUGGCUCCUUGGGGUGGGGAAGACGAGUCUUCAGGAAGACUCAGCUCAGGCAUCUUCUGUUUCCUGCCCUUUCUCCGGUGGAAAUGAUGUAUCCCGCUUCUUGUCACCCACCCGCGCCUGCCCGCAUCCUUGAUAGGGACAGGGAGGAGAGAGACAAACCAAGCGAAGCCAGUAAGCCUUAAAUCUCACUGGCAAAGAUGAAAUAUUAUGCAACUUUUUUUUUAAAAAAAAGAAGCAAAAUGAUUUGGGGUGUGGGUCUUUUGUUGCUAAUGUUCUGUGUUGUGGUUUUUAAGGAUGAAUGUAUGACUGUAUCAUCUGCGUAACCGAAAAUUAACAAAAAUUAUCAUCAAAACAACAAAAGAGAAAGCAGCCAUAGGUCUGAUUGGCAGCUCUGCCCAUGGGUCAGCCCUGCCUGAAGCCCUUUCAUCCCAGUCCUCUGAAGGCUGCUGUGGGACAUUCUGGUGACCAAAGGGGCCUGCGCCCGUCUCAGGACACAGAGGGCUUCUGUUGACUCUUGACACCCAGUGGGCAGGUGGGAGGGUACAAAUCCCAGACAACAAGUUGAUGCAAAAUGGCACUGCCCAGCCAAACCACAGGAAGAGGAGAAAUUCAGUAAACAGAAGACACUUCACUGAACUCAGACGAGGCAAACGCCCACGUCUGAGUCUUAGGUGAAAGGGGAACGUGUCAAGUAUGUUUUCUUAGCGAGGAUUCAUCAG
This 1103-nucleotide long non-coding RNA is filed under the name Bos indicus x Bos taurus (hybrid cattle). RNAcentral describes it as "lncRNA (ENSBIXG00005020126.1)". The record is from RNAcentral. Lineage: Eukaryota; Metazoa; Chordata; Mammalia; Artiodactyla; Bovidae.